Molecule: small nuclear RNA, 87 nt
Gene: U4
Rfam family: U4 spliceosomal RNA
About the family: U4 small nuclear RNA (U4 snRNA) is a component of the major U2-dependent spliceosome. The structure of U4 snRNA from yeast and human has been reported.
Source: Ensembl
AGCUUUGCGCAGUGGCAGUAUCAUAGCCAAUGAAGUUUAUCCGAGGCGCGAUUAUUGCUAAUUGAAAGGCAAAUAAAUAAAAUAGCC